CCUGGACAGAGUCCACAAGGCCGAGUUGAAGCUGAGGUCUAAAGGAUUGUGGGACGUGCCACAUCCUUGGCUCAACCUCUUUGUCCCCAAAUCAAGGAUUGCUGAUUUCGAUAAGGGAGUCUUCAAGGGCAUUUUGGGCAAUAAAACAAGUGGACCCAUUCUUAUUUACCCCAUGAACAGAAACAAGUGGGACCAGAGGAGCUC
This 204-nucleotide unclassified non-coding RNA is filed under the name Hevea brasiliensis (rubber tree). Lineage: Eukaryota; Viridiplantae; Streptophyta; Magnoliopsida; Malpighiales; Euphorbiaceae. The record is from RNAcentral.